GGGCCGGUAGAUUAGUGGUAAAUCGUCCGCUUCGCACGCGGAGGAUCGCGGGUUCGAAUCCCGCCCGGUCCACCA
This 75-nucleotide transfer RNA is filed under the name Thermoproteota archaeon. RNAcentral's name for it is "tRNA-Ala". It matches the Rfam family "tRNA". From Rfam's summary of the family: Transfer RNA (tRNA) molecules are approximately 80 nucleotides in length. Their secondary structure includes four short double-helical elements and three loops (D, anti-codon, and T loops). Lineage: Archaea; Thermoproteati; Thermoproteota. RNAcentral also lists the same sequence under 1 other name. The record is from RNAcentral.